CUACUAAUUGAGUAUGUAAAAUAAAAGUCAAAAAUCAAGUAGUACACUCAUUUAAUUAGUUUAGUGAUCUAACGUGGUAAUAAUAUACAAAUGAAACUUAAUUUACGGUCUUUGUCCCUUAACUCUAUGAGACUAUCUCGGGGGUUUUUAGCUUGAGUUCUUAGUUAUAAUGUGAUUAAAAUUAAAUCAAAAUUGGUGAAUAUGCUAAGAAAGAGCUCUUAACUAAGAGGUUUAAGAGUCCCUCAUAGUCAUCGACGUGGUCAAAAUUGGUUGGGUGAAACAUUUUAGGAAAUAGAAAAACUUUUUUUUCUUCUUCUCCCUCUUCCUUCUCUCUCGCGACGAGCGGUGGCGACGCGGCGGAAAACGAUACUCUCGCAUCCGGGGUCUGCUUCUUCUUCUCGCUUUUGUACAAACGAUGUUGGGUUUGAUUCAUGUACUUGAUGAGCUCGUCAAUGGUCUUAUGCCACUGCUUAUCUUUCAAUAGCCAAAACCCUGUUCCUGAAUCAUCAUCAUCAUCUUCUCUUCGUUAUAAGCCCUGUGAACCGAUUUCGUCGUGGGGUAAUAAGAGAAGAAAGAGGCUUUGGGGGUAAUAUUGAUCUUGUUCCUUAAUUGUAAAUUUUCUUCUAGAUGACUGAUCAAUGCUCAUUGACAUUGUAACUCUUUAGAUGCUGAGUUUAUUAGAGUUCAUCUUGUUCCUAAUGUCCAUCCUUGGACUAUUUUGGGUCAGAGUUUUGGUGGCUUCUGUGCACUUACAUACUUGAGCUUUGAGCCGGAAGGACGGAAACAAACUACUGCUAAUAUCUUGUACAGAUGAUAUUUCCAUGGAUGUUUGAUGAGACUCAUGCUUUGAAGCCAUUCAAUGCUGCCACUGCUGAUCUCUUGGCCAAGAUAGAAGCUUCACCUCCCUAUUACAUGAUUGCAAAACCAUCGAGACUUGUAUGUAUGAAGCCAGGAACUCCCUGUUGCAGGAAAUCUGGGAUGAAGUUGGUGAGAGUGAUGAAGAACGAGACAAACCGCUUCUUCAGAUUGAGGAGGAGUGGCUCAAUGUUUACAAAAAGAAGGUUGAGUAGGCUGCAAAAUCUCGCGCAGAGCUUCUUCAGACCUUGUCUGAUGCUACUGUUGAACUUUCCAAUCUCACAUCUGCUCUAGGGGAAAAGAGCUAUAUUGACAUUCCAUAUUAGAGUUCAGGGACGAUCAAAGAACAGCUCUCUGCGAUAGCACCUCCUCUUGAACAACUUUGGCAACAGAAAGAGGAAAGGGUCCGGGCGUUUUCUGAUGUACAAUCACAGAUUCAGAAGAUAUGUGAAGAGAUAGCUGGCGGUUUGAAUAAUGGGCCUCAUGUGGUUGACGAGUCUGACUUGUCGCUGAAGAGAUUAGAUGAGUUCCAGAGGAAACUCCAAGAGCUCCAGAAGGAGAAGGUAAAUUAUUAGUUUGCAUAUGGUUGAUGUGUGGUCUAUGUUUGCCUUCAGGCCAGAACUAAAACUGCUUUGUGUUUGGGUACAGUGAUAGGUUGCAGAAGGUGCUCGAGUUUGUGAGCACUGUCAUGAUCUAUUAUGAGAUGCAAUAAUAAAAUCUUCAUUGUUUAAACAUU
Camelina sativa (false flax) is the source of this 1591-nucleotide non-coding RNA. NCBI's taxonomy places the organism in Eukaryota, Viridiplantae, Streptophyta, Magnoliopsida, Brassicales, Brassicaceae. The record is from RefSeq and is a predicted model, not a curated record.